This 494-nucleotide ribosomal RNA is filed under the name uncultured bacterium. RNAcentral's name for it is "partial 16S ribosomal RNA". It matches the Rfam family "Bacterial small subunit ribosomal RNA", at positions 28 to 507 of the family's 1533-position model. The record is from RNAcentral.
GACGAACGCUGGCGGCGUGCUUAACACAUGCAAGUCGAACGGAAAGGCCUGCUUUCCCUUGUGGAUUGCGGGUACUCGAGUGGCGAACGGGUGAGUAACACGUGAGUGAUCUGCCCCCAACUUGGGUAUAAGCCUGGGAAACUGGGUCUAAUUCCCGAUAGGACUGCAGGGUGGUGCCGGUGGUGGAAAACGAUUUUCUAGUGGUUGGGGAUGAGCUCGCGGCUUAUCAGCUUGUUGGUGGGGUAAUGGACUACCAAGGCGGCGACCCGUAGCCGGCGUGUGAUCGUGGACGGUGGCACUGGGACUCGGUCACGGCUCCGACUCCUGCGAGCGGCAGCAGUUGUGACGAUUGCACCAAGGGCGGAAGCCUGCAGCAGCGACUCAGCGUGGGAGGUCUCCGCCUUCUGGUUCUAAGCUCCUUGCGACCGCGAGGAAGCUACCUGGUUGGGAGGGUCGUGACGGUAGUUGUAGAAGAAGCACCGGCUAACUACGUG